Molecule: transfer RNA, 52 nt
Filed under: Clostridium tyrobutyricum DIVETGP
Lineage: Bacteria; Bacillati; Bacillota; Clostridia; Eubacteriales; Clostridiaceae
Rfam family: tRNA
About the family: Transfer RNA (tRNA) molecules are approximately 80 nucleotides in length. Their secondary structure includes four short double-helical elements and three loops (D, anti-codon, and T loops).
Source: Rfam by way of RNAcentral
GAGCAUUCGGCUGUUAACCGAAGGGUUGGAGGUUCGAGCCCUCUCCACGGAG